GCCGUGUCGCGACGCGCCCCACCGCACGAAAAUCGAUGACAUCUAUCUAUCCAUCGGUUCAAUUCCGCCUGUGGUGUGGUACUAACUACUACCUCUGAGAUGAGGGAGAGGGAGGUCCGAGGUGGUGUGGUGUGGUGUCGUCCGCUCUCUCUCUCUCUCAUAAUAAUAAUUCCGGUAUCCAUCAUCGUCCUUGUCUCUAGUAGUUAGUGUUGCCUCGGCGGUGGUGGUGGUGGCGUCGGAGGUGAGAGGUGGCGUAGGCCGUCGCCGCGCGCCGCCUCUUCGGCCAGGCCCCUUCGUCCGCUCGCUGUCCUUCGUCGUCGUGGCCGUCGUUCUUCUUCUUCCUCUUCUUCUUAGCCUGCGGUAUUACGUCGUAGUUCCCCAAGGAUUUAAACCCUUGACCCUCCUGCUCCCGGUUCCGAUGUGCGUCAUGAAGCUUUUGCGGGCGUUUAGAGGUCCUUCCGGGCAGUUGGUCUUGCUAGCGUUGGUUCCGCGACGUGUCCGUGGGGGCUUGCUGGGCGGCAGCCAGUUCCGGAGGGGGAACUCCGGCCCCAGGCUCGGCCCCGACGCGUUCUUGUCCCUGCUUUCCGCACGGUGGGCUCUUCUGCUGGAGGCAGCCGUGCUCGGGCGACGGGCCUUUUGUGUACGGCUCAGCGGGUUGGUAUCUAUACCACUGGUCUCGUUGAUGCUUCCGCGACGCUCCUUUCGCUCGUUACUCUCCAGUGGGUAGGUAGGAGCCGUCGUCCGUUCCGAACGUUUGUUUCCACCCCAAAGUAGAGGACAACGCCUAGCGUCCCCAAGACGAGGGUGGUGCGGACCUUCCAGGUUCUACUCCGGUUGGCCGGCGCCGCUACUUUGCGGGCUCUCUCCUAGUCGACACGGCUUCAAACCUCUGACCCUACUCUUUCUGGGAAGCUGACCACUUCCAAAGUGACUGUAUAAACUCUUCCACUCCCUCCUCUUCGUCAGGCCGCGCCUAUGACAGCCGUGGUCGGUACGUAUAUUCCUGGCGAUGUUGGUUCCCCUGUCUAUACUUAGAAGCCCGACGAGUACGAAGUCGACCAAGUUCUUCACUGUGGGUGGGACGGACAUUGUAUGGACACCGCUAACAUAGAAACACUUUACUCAUCGGUUUAGACAACAAUAAAACAACUCUACAAUACAAUAUCGCUCUGUACAUAGCCUCGUACUUAAUAAGCGUUCCGACACUAAGUCGUAAAAAAAACUCGUAAACAUUAGUCACCAACCAAAGGACUUAAAACGUUGUUAACAGAGUAAGGACCUAAUUUCCCCUUCGUCCAACCCUUUAUUCCCG
This 1312-nucleotide ribosomal RNA is filed under the name Triticum aestivum (bread wheat). RNAcentral's name for it is "partial small subunit ribosomal RNA". Lineage: Eukaryota; Viridiplantae; Streptophyta; Magnoliopsida; Poales; Poaceae. The record is from RNAcentral.